This 209-nucleotide unclassified non-coding RNA is filed under the name soil metagenome. RNAcentral's name for it is "partial internal transcribed spacer 1". The record is from RNAcentral.
CCGAGUUUACAACUCCCAAACCCAAUGUGAACGUUACCAAACUGUUGCCUCGGCGGGAUCUCUGCCCCGGGUUGCGUCGCAGCCCCCGGACCAAGGCGCCCGCCGGAGGACCAACCAAAACUCUUAUUGUAUACCCCCCUCGCGGGUUUUUUUUUUUAUAAUCUGAGCCUUCUCGGCGCCCUCUCGUAGGCGUUUUCGAAAAUGAAUCA